Long non-coding RNA from Anguilla rostrata (American eel), 438 nucleotides. RefSeq lists it as uncharacterized. The record is from RefSeq and is a predicted model, not a curated record. The transcript has 2 exons. NCBI's taxonomy places the organism in Eukaryota, Metazoa, Chordata, Actinopteri, Anguilliformes, Anguillidae.
GUAAGCCAGGGGUGUCAAACUGAAUCCCAAAAUGGCCACAAUGUCUGCAGGUUUUCGUGUUUUCCUUUCAGUCAGUUGCCAAUUAAGGCCUGGACAACAAGGUGUGUGGAUCAAUGUGGAUCACCAAUCAAUGACUUCAAUUAAACACUUGUGCUUAGAACACCCCAAAAACCAGCAGAGACUGCAGCCCUCCAAGACUGGAGUUUGACACUUGUACUGCAAGCUUUUCAAGGUUGUCCAGUCCUCCAUGAUUGUUGCAGUCAGAAUGCCAUCUAAAGCGAAAAGAAGAGAUUUGGUACCCAGGGAGGUCAUGGAGAGGGCUUCAGAUUUGGAGAUUAGGGACACUAGAUGGUGUUGAAACCAUCUACAUGUAGUGUUGUUUUGGGACAUUUUAAAGGGUUUUCAAUAUUUAUUAAAGAGAUUCAUUUUACUCAUAAA